RNAcentral lists this ribosomal RNA (2495 nucleotides) under Triticum aestivum (bread wheat). RNAcentral's name for it is "partial small subunit ribosomal RNA". The record is from RNAcentral. Lineage: Eukaryota; Viridiplantae; Streptophyta; Magnoliopsida; Poales; Poaceae.
GUCCCCGCAGCGGAAGCGCAAGAAGAAGGGCCGCCCGUCGCUCCUCGACCUCCAGCGCCGCAGCCUCCGCCUGCAGGCGCAGAGCCCCGAGGCCGCGUCCCCGCCGCCCCCCGCCCGCCGCGGCCCCGACCCCUCCGACGACGACGAGGACGCGGGGGGCGCCAGCACCGGGCGGCGCCGCCAGAAGCGGCUCAAGAACGUCCUCUCCGGCUCCGGCGAGGAGGAGGAGGGAGCUGCGGUGGAGGAGAAGAAGGAUGCGGCGAAAGCGACGGGGAAAGGGGCCGCUGCGUCGUCGGGUGGCGGGCCCACGGGGACGCCCCUCCCGGACAAAAAGUUGCUGCUCUUCAUCCUCGACAGGCUCCAGAAGAAGGACACCUAUGGAGUUUACUCGGACCCCGUCGACCCGGAGGAGCUUCCGGAUUACCAUGAGCUCAUCGAGCAUCCCAUGGACUUCUCAACCAUCCGCGAGAAGCUUUUGAGCGACAAGUAUACCAUCUUGGAGCAGUUCGAGAAUGAUGUAUUUCUACUUACAUCCAAUGCCAUGUCCUACAAUUCAGAAGACACAGUAUACUAUCGCCAGGCACGGUCUAUUGAAGCUCUUGCCAGAAAGGAUUUUGAGAACUUGAGGCAAGCUAGUGAUAGUGAAGAAGAACAACCGAAGACAGCACCUAGAAGAGGCAGGCCACCAAAAAAUGCAAAGAAAACAGUUGAGAAGGUUGAGGGCGAUGGUUCACCAGAUUUAUCCAAUGUAAAAGGAAACAGAUCUGUAGACAACACUGAGACAAGAAAAAGAUGGACUAGUGAGAGAACUCGAAAUAAUAUUACCAUGAGAGAUUCAUCCAUUCUUCACCACAGCACGUUCGGUUCUUUUAGUGGUAAAAAAACAGAGAAAACUGGUGUUUACUCAGGGUCUUCGAAGUAUGGAAAGAAGACUACUAUUUUAGAUGAUGAUCGGCGGAGUACAUAUGAUCAGCAAUACUCAAAUUAUAGUCCUCUUUUUUCUGCCCUCGAUUGUGAGCGGAAACAACUAAUUCCAAUUGGGCUUCAGCAGCAACAUGCAUAUGCCAGGAGCUUGGCACGGUUUGCGGCAAAGCUCGGACCAAUUGGAUGGGAUAUAGCAGCGAAAGGAAUCAGACGUGUAUUACCACCCGGGACAAAGUUUGGCCCAGGAUGGGUUGUAGAUGGCGAGCCACCUCAAAACUCGCAGUGUCCGCGAGUUCCUGAAGUUACCGACCCGUCCGCAAAGUCCAGUAUUCCAUCAUGCGGUAUACCACCCAAAAGCGAUGAUCUACGUCGGAGUUCUGAGCUAUCUUCAGAUGGGGAUGCUGCCGCAGGUGAAGAGUAUCUGACUAAAAACCAGCCAGUGGCGUCUACAUCAGCAGGCUUUGAAAGGAGCUCUACACCUGCCAGUAAAAUACCCACGUAUGAAAAUGGAGCUACCAUGACAGGUGAUGGUGUGGGUAAUACUCGACCAACGCCUCCGUUACAGCAGCAGAGUACCAGUCAAGAAGUCCCCUCUAAUAUCAACGGAAUGACUGCUGCGCCGAACACCAUGGGUCAGUAUGCUGGACAAGGUUUAUUUGAGCAAAUGACGCAUGCCCAAGUGCUCGGGAUGUUUUCUGGAGUCAAUGGCAGAGCCAACGGCUUUCGCCAUGGUCACCAACUGACGGAGGAGAGUGUUAAAACAGUGCAGAAUGGAGUAAUUGGAAAGGCAGCUACCACCACCAGCCCCUUGCAAGAAGCAGAUCAUGAUCCAAAGGGUUCAUAUCCACAAGACGAGAACAGGUCCGCAUCUCCAAGCUUGAAUGCUGCCGGUUCCCCGCCUAGGGGGAAAGCGGCAGCGAACCCGAAGCAACCAGACUUGGUGUUACAGCUGUGAGCGCCGUAGCAGCCAUUGACAUACAUAGUUAGUAUCUGCCACCCCUGAUGGAAACGAGAUGGAUCGGAAAUUCAGAAUCCUGCUUCUCCAGGGCCGAUCGAUCAUCCAGCUCCGGAUCCGCUGAUAGUACACCCGAGAGGUGCCCAAGAGCUUGGAAGGAUAACCAAAGACUUAACCAACCGAUGGAGAAUAAAAUGAGGGUCGUGGGAAUUGAACCCUAGCGAGCGGGCGAAUGAAGUUGUUGUAAAAGGGUAGGUAGUGUACAGAUUCUGAUCCUAUUGGAGACGACGAUAAUGUUCCAGCGCUCGCUCGCCUGGUAGCAUCAACCGAAUCGAAUGUGUAACAUUAUUUAUAGUAGAGAAGUUAGCAUACAAGCAAGCAAGCAAAGCGGGAAGAGGGCAAAGGUGAAUAGUCGUGCCGUUUCCUCCGUUCCAUCUUGACCUGAGCAGCGGCCUGUGGCAUGAUCAUGUUCUAGUAGUAGUAAGAAUCCAAUCUCCUGACCUGGUUAUGUCUUAUGUGGUGGUAGUGGUAAUGAUUUGUUGAAGUUGAAUAUAUUUCCUGCUGUGGAAUCUUGUUGGUAUAUGCUGAAGAAAUUGGAUGAAUGGAUGGAUGGAUG